Sebastes umbrosus (honeycomb rockfish) is the source of this 320-nucleotide long non-coding RNA. RefSeq lists it as uncharacterized. NCBI's taxonomy places the organism in Eukaryota, Metazoa, Chordata, Actinopteri, Perciformes, Sebastidae. The record is from RefSeq and is a predicted model, not a curated record. The transcript has 3 exons.
GGUGUGCUCCAGCAGCCCGUUGUCCUCUGCCAGGUGGUACACUGGGUUCCCGUUGGCACCAUGGAUCCAGGUGGCUCCAAGCUCCAAAGUUGCUUUUCCUACAACAAAAAAAAAGAGACAAGAAACACAGAUCAGGCUGCUAGAGGUGAGGGUCACAGGAGGACACGGCUUUGUGGCAAAUGACAAAACAUAAAUCUGAAACGAGGACGCAGAGCCAAUCAAAUCACUUCUGCCAGGAGUCCCCAGGGGGCAGCUGUUCGUUUUACACAGAUGUUUCCAUUUUAAACCAGAUUUUUCCACAUAAAACAUUUUAGUUCCUA